Molecule: ribosomal RNA, 465 nt
Filed under: uncultured Klebsiella sp.
Lineage: Bacteria; Pseudomonadati; Pseudomonadota; Gammaproteobacteria; Enterobacterales; Enterobacteriaceae
Description: bacterial SSU rRNA
Rfam family: Bacterial small subunit ribosomal RNA
Source: RNAcentral
CCUACGGGGGGCAGCAGUGGGGAAUAUUGCACAAUGGGCGCAAGCCUGAUGCAGCCAUGCCGCGUGUGUGAAGAAGGCCUUCGGGUUGUAAAGCACUUUCAGCGGGGAGGAAGGCGGUGAGGUUAAUAACCUCAUCGAUUGACGUUACCCGCAGAAGAAGCACCGGCUAACUCCGUGCCAGCAGCCGCGGUAAUACGGAGGGUGCAAGCGUUAAUCGGAAUUACUGGGCGUAAAGCGCACGCAGGCGGUCUGUCAAGUCGGAUGUGAAAUCCCCGGGCUCAACCUGGGAACUGCAUUCGAAACUGGCAGGCUAGAGUCUUGUAGAGGGGGGUAGAAUUCCAGGUGUAGCGGUGAAAUGCGUAGAGAGCUGGAGGAAUACCGGUGGCGAAGGCGGCCCCCUGGACAAAGACUGACGCUCAGGUGCGAAAGCGUGGGGAGCAAACAGGAUUAGAUACCCCUGUAGUC